This 406-nucleotide ribosomal RNA is filed under the name uncultured bacterium. RNAcentral's name for it is "partial 16S ribosomal RNA". It matches the Rfam family "Bacterial small subunit ribosomal RNA", at positions 30 to 526 of the family's 1533-position model. The record is from RNAcentral.
AUUGAACGCUGGCGGCAGGCCUAACACAUGCAAGUCGAACGAGUGGCGGACGGGUGAGUAAUGUCUGUGAAACUGCCUGAUGUAGGGGGAUAACUACUGGAAACGGUAGCUAAUAUCGCAUACCAUCAGAUGUGCCCAGAUGGGAUUAGCUCGUAGGUGGGGUAACGGCUCACCUAGGCGACGAUCCCUAUCUGGUCUGAGAGGAUGACCAGCCACACUGGGACUGAGACACGGUCCAGACUCCUACGGGAGGCAGCAGUGGGGAAUAUUGCACAAUGGGCGCAAGCCUGAUGCAGCCAUGCCGCGCGUAUGAAGAAGGCCUUCGGGUUGUAAAGUACUUUCAGCGGGGAGGCGUUACCCGCAGAAGAAGCACCGGCUAACUCCGUGCCAGCAGCCGCGGUAAUUC